GGGGUGUGUGUGUGUGUGUGUGUGUGUGUGUGUGUGUGUGUGUGUGUUUCACUCCUGGAUUAGCCUGCAGGUGCGCGCGCACACACACAC
RNAcentral lists this microRNA precursor (90 nucleotides) under Pelodiscus sinensis (Chinese soft-shelled turtle). Its description in RNAcentral is "miRNA (ENSPSIG00000020035.1)". The record is from RNAcentral. Lineage: Eukaryota; Metazoa; Chordata; Testudines; Trionychidae.